AGAAAUGCAAAGGAAGAAAUAGUAAUAACAACUCGGAAUCUAGUGAGGUUAUGGCUGGUGGAAAUAACUGACUGAAUGUUAUGAACGCACUCUUCUAGCAGAUGAAAAUCCGUUACUUCGCGUUAAGAAGAAUGAGAUAGUGCACACUAUGAACUAAGGUGGUACCGCGGUUGAUCCGCCCUUAGA
Molecule: non-coding RNA, 186 nt
Filed under: Bacillus sp. (in: firmicutes)
Lineage: Bacteria; Bacillati; Bacillota; Bacilli; Caryophanales; Bacillaceae
Description: Bacillus sp. T-box sequence
Rfam family: T-box leader
About the family: Uncharged tRNA acts as the effector for transcription antitermination of genes in the T-box leader family. T-boxes are found upstream of many aminoacyl-tRNA synthetase genes and some amino acid biosynthetic genes usually in Gram-positive bacteria.
Source: RNAcentral